Molecule: ribosomal RNA, 813 nt
Filed under: uncultured bacterium
Lineage: Bacteria
Description: bacterial SSU rRNA
Rfam family: Bacterial small subunit ribosomal RNA
Source: RNAcentral
AGAGUUUGAUCCUGGCUCAGGAUGAACGCUAGCUACAGGCUUAACACAUGCAAGUCGAGGGGCAGCAUGGUCUUAGCUUGCUAAGGCCGAUGGCGACCGGCGCACGGGUGAGUAACGCGUAUCCAACCUGCCGUCCAGUAGGGGACAGCCCGUAGAAAUGCGGAUCAAUACCCUAUGUUCUCCGAGGAUGACAUCAGAUUCGGAGUAAAGAUUCAUCGCUGGACGAUGGGGAUGCGUCUGAUUAGGCAGCAGGCGGGGCAACGGCCCACCUGGCCGACGAUCAGUAGGGGUUCUGAGAGGAAGGUCCCCCACAUUGGAACUGAGACACGGUCCAAACUCCUACGGGAGGCAGCAGUGAGGAAUAUUGGUCAAUGGGCGCGAGCCUGAACCAGCCAAGUAGCGUGAGGGAAGACUGCCCUACGGGUUGUAAACCUCUUUUGUUCGGGAAUAAAGUGCGGCACGCGUGCCGUUUUGUAUGUACCGUUCGAAUAAGGACCGGCUAAUUCCGUGCCAGCAGCCGCGGUAAUACGGAAGGUCCAGGUGUUAUCCGGAUUUAUUGGGUUUAAAGGGAGCGCAGGCGGCCCGUUAAGCGUGACGUGAAAUGUAGUUGCUCAACAUCUGCACUGCGUCGCGAACUGGUGGGCUUGAGUUCACGGUAGGAAGGCGGAAUUCGUGGUGUAGCGGUGAAAUGCUUAGAUAUCACGAAGAACCCCGAUUGCGAAGGCAGCUUUCCGCAGUGUUACUGACGCUCAUGCUCGAAAGCGCGGGUAUCGAACAGGAUUAGAUACCCUGGUAGUCCGCGCGGUAAACGAU